UACGAAGGGGGCUAGCGUUACUCGGAUUGACUGGGCGUAAAGGGCGCGUAGGCGGAUGGUACAGUCAGACGUGAAAUUCCUGGGCUCAACCUGGGGGCUGCGUUUGAUACGUGCUGUCUGGAGUUCGGAAGAGGGUCGUGGAAUUCCCAGUGUAGAGGUGAAAUUCGUAGAUAUUGGGAAGAACACCGGUGGCGAAGGCGGCGACCUGGUCCGAUACUGACGCUGAGGCGCGAAAACCAGGGGAGCAAACGGG
Molecule: ribosomal RNA, 253 nt
Filed under: uncultured bacterium
Lineage: Bacteria
Description: partial 16S ribosomal RNA
Rfam family: Bacterial small subunit ribosomal RNA
Source: RNAcentral